This is an unclassified non-coding RNA of Vombatus ursinus (common wombat), 257 nucleotides long. It matches the Rfam family "Metazoan signal recognition particle RNA". From Rfam's summary of the family: The signal recognition particle (SRP) is a universally conserved ribonucleoprotein. It is involved in the co-translational targeting of proteins to membranes. The eukaryotic SRP consists of a 300-nucleotide 7S RNA and six proteins: SRPs 72, 68, 54, 19, 14, and 9. The record is from Ensembl. NCBI's taxonomy places the organism in Eukaryota, Metazoa, Chordata, Mammalia, Diprotodontia, Vombatidae.
GCCAGGCAUGGUGGCGCAUGCCUGUAUUCCCUACUGCUGGGUGAGGCAAUUCUGAGCUGUAUCAGGGCCAAAGACAAUCAGGUGUCUGCACUAAAUACAGUACCAACAUGGUUAGCCCCUGGGAGAGGGGGACUGGUAGGCUGCCUAAGCAGGGUCUAACCGGCUCUGGUCAGAAAUAGAGCAGGUCAAAGUUUCCAUACUGAUCAGUAGUGAGAUUAACCCAUCAGUGGCUGCUGAACUUCCAGCCUAGGCAAAAU